Molecule: transfer RNA, 85 nt
Filed under: Perca fluviatilis (European perch)
Lineage: Eukaryota; Metazoa; Chordata; Actinopteri; Perciformes; Percidae
Rfam family: tRNA
About the family: Transfer RNA (tRNA) molecules are approximately 80 nucleotides in length. Their secondary structure includes four short double-helical elements and three loops (D, anti-codon, and T loops).
Source: Rfam by way of RNAcentral
GUCAGGAUGGCCGAGCGGUCCAAGCGCGCGCAUGCUCAGGUCGCAGUCUCCACUGGAGGCGAGGGUUCGAAUCCCACUUCUGACA